UGUUUUCAUACACCCCUCCUUCUACCUUUUCCUCCCGCCUCAAUCCCUUUCCCCCCUCUCCGCGCCUACAAAUACAUCAGCAUGUCUUUAGUACUGGUCGCGCUGUACAGUCAGCGGAGACGGCGAGCCUCUUAAUAUUCCGGUCACAACCCAGAGAGGGAGGGAGGGAAGGAGGGAGGGAGGAGGAACGAGUAGAGCCGGAUAAAAAAAGGGAGGGUGAAAAGCCACUGAAAAAGAAUUACACUGAGAAGAUGAAAGAGGGAGAGGGAAGAGAAGAGAAGUAAAGGCUAUCCCCGUCGUUCGUCUCUCGCGCCCGGUCUACCCUUCACCACCUCCCCUCUCAGGGAAAGUUUCGGAGCCGACGAGCCACGACCUCCGGGAGCCCUCCCGCCGUCUCCGCGACGCUUAGGAGCGAACGCCAGGAAGACCGGCGCGUUCAGAAGUAAAAAGCAAACAAGGAGCUACGCGACCCAGAAUCCACCUGUGCCGCAGUCCGACGUCACGCUGAGAUUUUAAUCCCAUCAGAUAUUUUAUCUCCCCGGUUCCUGCAGGGCUGCCUCCGAUUCCGCCCUGCCUUUCGGAAAAAAAAACCGGAAAUUGAACGCGUUCGGAUGGCAAAGGGGGCCCGCUCUGGAACGUAGAAGCUCGAAGCGUUCCGGCGAGACUUCGGCGGAAUAAGAACGCGGCGAGCGCGUCCGAGGAGCCGCUCGGCCCGGAGCUAUGACCUGAAGAUCAUGGACGGCCCCGCCCAACAGUGCAUUCUCUCCUAAAACAGACACCCUGCUCUUGGUCCGGGGCGGAAGGGGAGCUGCGCUGCGAUUGGCCGCCUGAGGUGGGGAGUGCGAUGCUGAUUGGAGGAUGUCGGGGGACUGGGAUGAAGACCUGUGCAACAAGGCCCUGGUGCUGGCAGAGGAGCUGUGCUUCCACUCGCCCGGGGGGUACAGCCAGAACGAGCGCUGCCAGGAGCUCAGCGACAUACUGAGGGGCCGACACAGGCAGAUCGACACAGAGAUCUCCGUCAGCCUGCUCUCCGUCAUCGUGACGUUCUGCGGGAUUGUGCUGCUGUCCGUGUCCCUCUUUGUCUCCUGGAAGCUGUGCUGGUUGCCAUGGCGCGACAAGGAGGGCGGCGGCCUGAGCCUGACGUCGGGGCUCCUCCCCGGCGGGGGCGGGCUGGGGGGCGGGGCCUCCCUCCUGCCCCCCCUCCUGCAGAGGAAGGACACGCACUCGCCCUCCUCGCUCUACCCGUCCCUCUCCCAGCCGGCCCAGCACCACCCCCACUUCUCCGACAUGCUGGUGGUGGAGCGGGGCGAGGGCGGGGUCGGGGGCGGAGUCGGGGGCGGGGUCGGGGGCGUGAUCGGCGGCCCGGAGAGGACCCCCGUCGGAGGGGUGGUGGGGGGUCCGCAGGAGACGCAGGAGCACUCGUACCUGGACAUGGACUGCCACUCCAACCCGGCCGGGGGGGGUUUGAAGCUGAGCCAGACCUCCCCGGAGUUGCCCCCGGUGACAGAGACUAGCUCCGCCUCCCAAGCUCACAAAGACCUCCCCAAUGCUCAGUCACAGAUGCAGGUCUCUGCCCGGCCACGCCCCAUGACCCACCAGCUUUCCAGCCCUGAUUUCCAUGGUGAUGAGAAGACUGAACAGGUGACCAGCAUUGGGCAGAUCAAGCCAGAACUAUAUAGACUGCGUCAGGGGGAGCAGGGAGAAGGAAAACAGGGUGACAACUGUGGCAAGAUCAGCUUCCUUUUGCGCUACGCUUUCAACACUGAGCAGCUGGUGGUCAAGAUCCUAAAGGCACUGGACCUCCCGGCCAAAGACGCCAACGGGUUCUCGGACCCGUACGUGAAGAUCUACCUGCUGCCCGACCGAAAGAAGAAGUUCCAGACAAAGGUUCACAGGAAGACGCUAAAUCCCGUCUUCAACGAGACGUUCCAGUUCGGGGUCCCCCUGGCCGAGCUCCACUCCCGGAAGCUGCACUUCUCCGUCUACGACUUCGACCGGUUCUCCCGACACGACCUCAUCGGUCAGGUGGUGGUGGACAACCUGCUGGACUUCAGCGAGGGGACGGGGGAGAAGCCCGUCUGGAGGGACAUCGUGGAGGGGACGGCGGAGAAGGCCGACUUGGGAGAGCUGAACUUCUCUCUCUGCUAUCUGCCGACGGCCGGACGGCUGACCGCCACCGUCAUCAAGGCCACCAAUCUGAAAGCCAUGGACCUCACCGGCUUCUCCGACCCGUACGUAAAGGCCUCACUGAUCUGCGAGGGCCGGAGGAUGAAGAAGAGGAAGACCUCCAUCAAGAAGAACACGCUCAACCCCACCUACAACGAGGCGCUGGUCUUCGACAUCCCCUACGAGAACAUCGACAGCGUGUCCCUCAUCAUCGCCGUCAUGGACUACGACUGCAUUGGUCAUAACGAGGUCAUCGGAAUGUGCCGGGUGGGCAGUGAUGCAGAGGGACCGGGUCGGGAGCACUGGGCGGCCAUGUUGGCCAACCCCCGCAAGCCAAUUGAGCACUGGCACCAGCUGGUGGAGGAGAAGACCAUGAACACGUAUGUGUCCAAGAGCGCCACCGCCUCCUCCAAGCCGCACAUCGUGGUGGACAGCCCCCACUCAGAGUAGAUCUGUGAGUGUUGUGAUUGACAGUGCCCACUGUGAGUAGAUCUGUGAGUGUUGUGAUUGACAGUUCCCACUGACAGUCUCUCUCUCCCAUGCACUGAUUUGUUCUCGUCAUUAACAAAACAUGAAGGUGGAGUAAAUGAGACGACACAUAACUUACACAUAACCGCUACUGUUACAGCUACUACUGCUACUAAUACUAUUCCUCUUCUACUACUACUAUUCUACUGCUACUAUUAUUAACAAUAACAACUUCAAAUCAUUGUGUACAAAUAGGCACCCAGAAGAAUUCAUAUAAAUGCAACAUUGAUGAAUAGAAUGUAGUGGUAAUACCUAGUAAACGUGUUCAGUGUGGACAGACCACCGAUCUCUGUCUCUCUCUCUCUCUCUAACACACACACACACACACACACACACUGUAAAGCUCAGUCACACGUGCACACAUACAUUUAUGAAUAAAUAAGAUGUAAAAAGGAAAAGACUCAUCUCUAUUAAAAAUAGUCACUUUGGAUCUUGAGUCAGUGAAGUGUGUGAUGGACGUCUCCAAUCGACGUGUAAAAACCCGAUCCAUCGGGGGGAAGGACCUGGUGCCCGUUUCUCCCUCCGAAAAAAAAAGUCACCUAUUGGUUUAUUUUGUGAUUCUGCACCAGACAAGUCAAAACUGAUUUCAUUUGUACAGACUUUUAAACAAACUUGUAACAGGACCUUGGGAAAUGCUGUCUUUGCUUCGCUCCUGAACAUUGUCUUACAGACCAAAAGGACCUGAAGGAAUCUCCGUAUAUUUUUUUGGGGGUAGGACAGAUACAAGUGUCGGACCGUGCCGCCAUUUUGGACAGCUUGUACCCCAGCUUUCAGAAUCAGAUCUUUUACUUGGGUAUUUUUCUUGUGUGAACAACAACAACAAAAAAUAUGUUCAGAUUCAGGGAGGGAGAAAUGCGGAUGGACCAAAGCAUGUUGUGCAACCAUGAAAUGUGUCCCCCUGCCUUACACAUUUUUUAAUCACUUUUUUCCUGUGAGCCCGUCAGGUUCAACUAGUAGCUUUUAUUUUUCUAUUAUUUCAUUUUCUAAUUGUCCACUUCAAAGGAUAAAUCUUCAUGCCACUUUUAUAUUUUUCAUUAUGCAGGAAACCUGGAGAUGUGAAUGGAACUGUUUGUGUGUAACAGGGGAAUGUGUCAUUCUUUUUGACAUUAACUGCCAAAUGAAUUAUAUUCAUGAGGAUACCCCAAAGGGAACUAUGGUUGAAACAGCAAUUUUUCGGAAGGACCCAAAUAAGGAUGCAUCUACUUGCUUUUUUUUACGCAGUUCUGGAAAGUGUAUCCUUCAGGAAAGGACUUCAUUGUACAUUAUUAUUAUUUUGGCGUCAUUCUUUGCUUUUUUUAUCUUCACUUCAAAAGAAGCAAUCUGUAAUUCAACUAGUAUCUGAGGGGGAUAGAUGUGACCAAAAGGACACGCUCAUGUUUUGUGUUGCCUUCGUUUGUGUGUGUUUCCGUGUUUGUUGGCGUGUUUGUGUACUUCGUAUGCGUCCGUGCGUGUGCCCGUGUCUCUGAUUGUCACCGUGACAACUAUGUGUCCUUCCCCGCCCUCCUCUCACCCUCCCACCUGGUGGUCCAUAAAUUUCAAAACGUCUUGAAAACAAAGUGUGUCUUCUGUUCCAUUCUGUCUUAGAAUAAGCGUUUGUAUGUAGGAGCCAUUAACUGUAGCGAGAAGUGAGAGGGAAGAGAUUGUUGUCCUGGCUGUUCUUUGAUGGCAUUGCCCCUGUCCAUUUCACAAAAGUGUAUACGCUGUGUACUUAUGUUAAUAUAUGUAUAUGUGUGAGAGGGAAUUGCUUGAGCGUCAGGGGAAUAAAUGCCUGGAUACUUCUUAGUGAUCGAUAAAAAAACAUCUGAACAACAUCGCCAAGGCUGAGCGCCGACUGCAGGCACAGAUAGAAAGAUGGUGGAGAGAGGAAGGCUUCAACACGGAGAGAGGAAGAUAAACAGGGAAGGGGAUGCCUCUUACGCACAGUCAGGUGAAGAUACAUGGUGAAGAGAAUGAAGGUUAAGCACAGUUAGAGGAAGAUGCAUAAGGAUGGGAAUAAAGGUAACAGUGAGAUGAAUAUAGAUGGGGAAGAGAAUAAAGGUUAUGCACAGCGAGAGGAAGAUAAAUGGGGAAGAGAAUAAAGGUAAUGCACAGUGAGAAGAAGACACAUGAGGAAGAGAAUAAAGGUUACACAGUAAAAUGACGAUAGAUGGGGAGGAGAAUAAAGGUUACGCACAGUGAGAGAAAGAUAAAUGGGGAAGAGAAUAAAGGUAAUGCACAGUGAGAGAAAGAUACAUGGGGAAGAGAAUAAAGGUUACGCACAGUGAGAGGAAGAUACAUGGGGAAGAGAAUAAAAGGUUACACACAGUGAGAAGAUAAAUGGGGAAGAGAAUAAAGGUUACGCACAGUUAGAGGAAGAUAAAUGGGUAAGAGAUUAAAGGUUACACACAGUGAGAGGAAGAUAAAUGGGGAAGAGAAUAAAGGUUAUGCACAGUGAGAGGAAGAUACAUGGGGAAGAGAAUGAAGGUUACACACAGUGAGAGGAAGAUAAUGGGGAAGAGAAUAAAGGUGAUGCACAGCGAGAGGAAGAUAAAUGGGGAAGAGAAUAAAGGUAAUGCACAGUGAGAGGAAGAUAAAUGGGGAAGAGAAUAAAGGUUACGCACAGUGAGAAAGAUAAAUGGGGAAGAGAAUAAAGGUUACGUACAGUGAGAGGAAGAUACAUGGGGAAGAGAAUAAAGGUUACGCACAGUUAGAGGAAGAUAAAUGGGUAAGAGAAUAAAGGUUACACACAGUGAGAGGAAGAUAAAUGGGGAAGAGAAUAAAGGUGACGCACAGCGAGAGGAAGAUAAAUGGGGAAGAGAAUAAAGGUAAUGCACAGUGAGAGGAAGAUAAAUGGGGAAGAGAAUAAAGGUGACGCACAGCGAGAGGAAGAUAAAUGGGGAAGAGAAUAAAGGUUACGCACAGUGAGAGGAAGAUACAUGGGGAAGAGAAUAAAGGUUACGCACAGUGAGAGGAAGAUACAUGGGGAAGAGAAUAAAAGGUUACACACAGUGAGAAGAAGAUAAAUGGGGAAGAGAAUAAAGGUGACGCACAGCGAGAGGAAGAUAAAUGGGGAAGAGAAUAAAGGUAAUGCACAGUGUGAGAAAGGUAGAUGAGGAAGAGGAUAAGUGUAACAUUGGGAAAAACCACUAUUAAAACAAUGCCAGUCACCGUAACCAUCACUAAUGUUUUCUCUGAAGACGGUACUUUCCUAAAUCACCAAAAUCACCAUCAGUACUGUCAGUGCUACUGCUGUUGGUACUGCCCUUCCCAGCGCUAAUACUGCCAGCUGUUUCACUGUUUUCAUCACUGAUAACCUUAUUACAGCUGCUACUGCCAUAAUCUCUACUAAUACAUCUACUGUUACCCCUUUGAUCAUCAGGCCUAAUACCUGUGCUACAACCCUGCCGCAGUUACUAUGCCACAAUUAAUAACAUCAUUACUAAUACUGUAACAUAAUCUAAUAUAGUAAUAUAUACUAACAUACAUCUAAUAUUACUACUACUGAUACUACAUCUAAUGUCAUUACCAAGACUGGUAUUACAUCUCAUGUAACUAGCACUGUUAUUACAUGUAACACCAUUAAUAAUAAUGCUACUUAAUCUAAUAUUACUAAUACUGACACUACAGCUAACAUCACUACUAAUAAUGUGUCACCAUCUGCUGUAAUUAGUAAUACCGUUACAACGUCUAACAUUACUUAUACUGAUACUACAUCAAAUAUUCCUUAAUGCUACUACAUCUAAUAUCAUUACGAGCACUGGAACUACUUCUAACAUCAUUGCUAUAGCUGGGUGUUUGUCACGGAUUUUGUUAUAUUUGAGUCUUUUUUAUUUUUUAUUUCCCCAUCUUUCCGGGAAUUCAUGAAUUGUGACCUCUGUAAAUGUUGUAACUGAAAUAAAGGAAAUUUCAUGGUUUUGA
Anguilla anguilla (European eel) is the source of this 6591-nucleotide RNA transcript. It is a transcript of the gene named synaptotagmin III, with no coding region annotated. The record is from RefSeq and is a predicted model, not a curated record. Lineage: Eukaryota; Metazoa; Chordata; Actinopteri; Anguilliformes; Anguillidae. The transcript is spliced from 13 exons.